GUUUCACAGGCGCCCACAUGAUAGGGGAGCUGGAGGAACCUGCCGUCUCCGCCAUCGAGCGCCCCUCCGAGCUGGGGUUGGACGCUGCCAGUUUGCACAGCAGCAGGGAGACAAGAGACACACAGCCACAGAGGACAAGGCCAUAUGAGAUGGAGGCAGAGACUGGAGAGAUGCCGCCACAAGCCAAGGAUGUGUGGGGCCACCAGGAGCUGGGGGAGAGGCCCCAUCAACGAACAAAUGCAGACAACUCUUCCUGGAGUUUUGCAUUAAAGACAAGAAGCUGGGGGCACAGCGAGGGGGACAUGAGGUCAAGGCGCUGCUGCUUUGUUAGGUAGGGGAGAUUGAGCAUGUUUGUAUCCUGAUGGGAAUGGACAAGCAGCAGGAGCAUCUGAUGGCACAGCAACCAGGGGGCCACCCCUUAAGGACAGGUGGGCCGGCUUGCCUUGGAGCAUGGGUGCUUGCUCACAGGCUCGGGGCAAGGCACAGAUGCGGGAGGCACAGACGCGGCAGUGGGAGCAGCUGGGUCCAUCUUCUCCCAGCUCUGGGCACAGGUGGGAGGCACAGUGCGUGCUUUCCCUGCAGGCUUCCUGUGCUUCGCCCCGAGCCAUCUCCCCAGGUCUGAGUUCCUCUGCUGGUCCAGGAGGGUCUCAGUGCGGUGGGACAAACUCGUUCCAUUGGUGGAUGGAGACACACCCAGUGUGGACAGAGGCUGCAAGCAUCAGAGGGCGUGUCCAUGCGGCAGUAUUGGUGUCAUGGCCAUAAGGUUGGCACUUCCUACAGACUCCGGCCUUGCAUUUUCAGCAGCUGGAGCUGUUCACAGCAUCCUUCUCACAGGAGUUUUGGGAGCACAACCAGGUGGGGUAUGCUUGAAAGCCUUAGAGUGAGGACCAGCACACCCACCCUCCUGGUGUCCCAUGCAAAGCUGCUGAAGGGGCUGCUGUGGCUGAAAUCUGAGCUCUGGGUGGUGCCUGCAGGAGCCCAAGCAGCUCCAGAGGGAGCCCCAUUCCACUUGACCCCUUUUCCUUAUGGCAGAUUCAGCUUCCCUGGGGUGAAAUCGAGGGGCAUUUCCCAGUUAUCUCCAGGAGUAUGAAAUUUCCCUCUUGUUUCUGCCCACCUGAGGGGCUGCACUUGGACCCUGCCAUGGGAAGAGGUCUGUUCCUCUCUGCCUCCUGGGGGACCCCCUCCUUGUGUGAGUCCCCUCUGAAGCCCUGCAGAACCUGGUCUGGGUCCUGAACAGUCCUGCCGAGGCCUGGCCUGUUGGACACAGAUGCUCAAAAUCUACUCAGAGCAUGCUGGCCCCUGUGGAGUGGUUCCUGUUCCUGGGGGGCUUAAGUGAAUGAGGGCGAGUGAUUCCUUUAAACAUUCUUUAUGUGCUGGGCACAGGGCUAGGGGCUCAGGAACCAGGCGUGCGAAACCAUGCAUGGUCAUGGCCUCAAAGGCCGAGCUCACCAUAUGUGGACACACAUGGACAAGGGGGUCACUGACCUGGGAAGGCUGUGAGGGGCACUGGUCAGGGCAGGAAGGCCUUCCUAGAGGAAGUGAGUCAGGUGAGAAGAAGUUAAGGAGCACCGUUCCUCUUCUUGGGACCUUGGGCAUGUCUGUGUCCCCAGCUGUAGCAGAAUAAGGUGCCAUCUAUGGAUGUGGUGCUGUGUGGUCUCAUGUAGCCCCAUCCACGGCCUGACCUUCCUGAAAUCCAUAAACGCUGAGCUACAGAUGUCACAUGUGUCUAAGAUCACUGGACAGAAUUAGCAUGCCUCAAUGAAAAUGAACUACGUCCCCAAGUAAUGGCACGAUUGCAGUUAAACUUAUGCAACUUCAGAAAUAACGGCAGAUAAAGGGCUAGAGACGUAGAAACCGUGGCUGGCAUGAGGGAGGAGCUUAGUGAGCCAUGGGAUGAAGGAAUGUGGUGCCUGCAGGAGCCCGAGUGGCCAGGAGCCCUGCUCUUCCCACCGUGGGACUCCUAUGGCCUCCCCACCACUCCAGCCUCUGCCUGGGGCUCCUCUAGCCCCUCUAGUUGGGAGAGGUCAUCCCCCAACAGAGACACAAAGUAUCAAAAAGACAAGCAUGCUUUUGUUUCCUGUUUCCGUCAGGUGUUUCUCUGAUCCGUAAGAGCCUCCUGCCCGUUCAUCCAUCAACAGCCUCUGGGGACACCUUCGGCAGCAGGAAUCACUGGUGUUGGGUACUGAGUUUGAAUUUCUGUGCCCACCUUUGCGCUGGCACAAAGGGGCUGGCUAUGUGGAAGCAGAAUGUGGGGCCCUUGCUUUAAAGACCUCAGAGGCUGGUUGAAGGGAUAAACCUCACACCCCCAAAAUUGAGAGAAAACAUCAAGGGAGCUGCACCGCAGCACCACCUUGCUCUCUGGGCUUCAGCACCAGGGAGGCGGACAGCUCCAUUCACUGUGGCCGCCACCGCCCAUCCAGGACUCCAGCCCUCCCCGCAUCAUCGCUCUGCUUGGCUGUCGGGGGAGGAGAGCGGCUGCUGCUGUGCAUGGGUGCUUGGGGGCGGUGGGGGGUGGGGUGCAGAGGAGGCACCACCCUACCCGGGGCCAUCACCAACCAAUGGGGAUGGGAGCGGGUAGAUAAAUGCCCCAGCCUCCCCAGCGUCGGUGGACAGUUUGGAAGUGCAUUCAUUCUCCAUGGCUUCCCAGAGGGCCCCCAGCAGGCCUGAGCAGCAGCUCUUGUGAAACUGCCCUCCAUGGGCUGCUCUCUCUUCCUGUCUCACUGUGUGCUCCGUCCCUCACUUCAGCUUCCUGGUCUCACAUCCCAAACACACUACCUUCGUCCAAGUCCUUGUCUCCACCAGGGCUUACAUUUGGGGUGCCUAGAAAAGGAGAGAGCAUAUAAUCAAUGCCAGGGUGAGUGGGGGGACACCCAGAGCCAUGAGGUCCCAAGGAGGGGGCGAUGGCAGGGUGGCCCGUGAGGCAGGUGGUCUGGGCCCAAUCCCCGGCUCAGGAUGGACAGAAGGCAGGAGCAGCCUCUGUGGGGGCUGGUGACAGUGUGAGCUGGCCCAGCAGUGGGUGGGCUUGGCUCCAAGGGUGCCACAGGGACUGUGAAGCAGGCUGGAGAGGGUGGCGAGCGGGCCUCCAGUGGGAAAACCAGGCAUGGCACUGAGGCGGGCAGGUAAGUUCAGCCCUACACUCCUCCUCCUUCCGGCCGGACUCUCACGUGGAUCUCUCCUUCUGGCUGUGCAGGUUGGAUCUAUGAACACGAGACACAGAAACACCAGCUGGAGGAGCCCAGGAGGCCCAGCAGGUGAGGUUAUCCACAGAAUAGGCACGCCGCCCUAGUCCAUGGAUCACUGAGUGCCCAGACCAGGGCUUCAGGGGGUUCCAGCCGAGGCUUUGUGAACCGGAUCCUGGGUCACUGAGUAACCAGACUGGUCUCAGGAGGUUCCAGCUGAGGCUUUGUGAACCAGAUCCUGGGUCACUGAGUGCCCGGACCAGGGGUUCAGGAGGUUCCGGCCGAGGCUUUAUGAACCGGAUCCUCCUCUUUGCGUUUCAAACAGCGGGAACCAUCUUAGUCCAUGGGCCACUGAGUGCCUGGACCAGGGGUUCAGGAGGUUCCGGACGAGGCUUUAUGAACCGGAUCCUCCUCUUUGCAUUUCAAACAGUGGGAACCAUCUUAGUCCAUGGGCCACUGAGUGCCCGGACCAGGGCUUCAGGGGGUUCCAGCCGAGGCUUUGUGAACCAGAUCCUGGGUCAUUGAGUGCCCGGACCAGGGGUUCAGGAGGUUCUGGCCGAGGCUUUAUGAACCGGAUCCUCCUCUUUGCGUUUCAAACAGCGGGAACCAUCGUAGUCCAUGGGCCACUGAGUGCCCGGACCAGGGCCCCGGGGCUUCCUGACAGCAGGAACAACAGGAAUCAUUCAAACCCUGGAGCCCAGAGGGCAGGACGGGAGCGGCCUUUUGUCCCCCGCGGGCAGGCCAGGGAGGUGGACAGGCCGGGAGCCUGAAGCCUGAGCAGCUGGAGGCUCGCUCAUUCUCCCGUGGUCACUGUGUUCCCGGAGCCCCAACAGAGGGCCAAUUGUCCCACGGGGCGGUGCCUGGUGGGUGUGGUGUCUUGGCGGCAGCCACUGCCUGGCUGUUCUCAGGAUCCCAAUCCCAGGUGAAGGCUGCAGUCCUCUUGCUGUGUGUGGACUAUUUAGCUCCGUGGGCGGCCACCUUGCCAUGGGGCCACAGCAGCCAUUCCAGAGGCUCCCCCAGUGCCCUCCUCGCCCGGGGGGGGGUGCUCCCGGGUGUGGUCCGGCUGAGGAGUCUCACUCGCAGGAAAGGUGGCGUGUGACGGGCUGGAGCCGGCCUGCGAAGUCUGCCUGGUGGCCAUGGCUCAGGGGCCUGUGUCUCCCGGACGCCCCCAGCGGGGCCUCUCUUGAAGGGACUUUGUGCUCCUGCCAGGAGAAAACAGCCCUAACAGCUGCCUCCUGGGCCAUUUCCAAACAUUCGUGUGUCAGGCCAGAGAGCGCCAGUUCGUUGCCCUUUUGGGUGGUUCCAAACGUGUGGAGUUGGGGCCCUGGCAGCUUCGGACCACCAGCCCCCCUUCACUGAGGGGUUCGUCAUCACCAAGCCUCAGCCAGAGAUGUUAAACUGGAAAAACAAUCACGGACCCCCGUGGGGGAAGCAGCUUCUGGUCUGGGGACAGUCAUGAGCUCUGCAUGCAGCUGCCGGUGUCCCUUCUCGGUGCCUGGCGGGUAUCAGGGCUCACCCUUGGCCUGGCCACACCUACCGCCUCUCAGGCCCACACCUCUUCCCGGAAGACACCUGGAGGCUUCAACACCGGCUCACGCCCUUUCCUGGAAGAAACCUGGAGGCUCUGACGCCGGCCCACACUCCUUCCCGAAGAAACCUGGAGGCUUGGACGCCGGCCCAUACCCAUUUUUGGACACCGGGGGCUUCAAUAUCUGUGGCAUCAGCUCCUCAGCUCUCUCUUCCCUCAGCAUCCCACUGACCCGAAAUUCCAGGAGAUCCCGAGAUGGGCCAAACACAAAACAAGAAAACAACAAAAACACCCUCUCCAGAAAGUAGAGAGGAGGCUCGGAGUGAAGGUGUGAAGUGCUGUGCCCGGCACAAAGUUCAUCCGGACAGAGCGGCUCCUUCCCAUCUGAAGCUCCCAUUUUCCUACAGAAAUGAGUUCCGACAUGCACUGCACAGCUGCUCUCUCUCCGCUUUGCAAAGCAGGAACUCAUGAUGUCUGAUGAGAAUCCACUCUGCUCUGGUCUGAGCUGGGGCAAAUCUUCGUUUGUCCUCCGCCUGUCCAACCCAGCCCUCGCCUGCAGGGCAUCUCAGAGCCCAGCACCUUCCCUGACGCUCUGCUGAGCCCGGAGCCACUUGGAGCUCAGGAACAGCAGAGGGAGGGAGGCCACGGGGUCUCAGCACAGAACCAGCAAGUCCGAGGCUGGACAUCUGAGCAGCGGGUGGUUGACAGGGCCCAUGGGCAGACCCCGCGGGCAGAGGACCGGGGUCUCUGCCUCACCCGCUUCCACCGCCCUUGGGUGCACCUGGCCAAGGCCGUCAGCAAACCGAGCCAGGCCUGUGUCCUGGUUCCCUCAUGGGCUCAUGGUCCUCCUGCCACCCUGCGAGAGCACCCCCGUGCACGCUGCCUGCAGCUCCCAGCCGCGAACGGCAGAGGCCCAGUCCCGCCGUCACACCCUCGUCCCGCCUGGCUUUCAGCGACGUCACCUUUGCCUGGCAACAUUCAGGCGGGGCUGCUCAGGCCUGCUGAUUCCAUCAUUUAAAGACGCCCAUUUCUUCUAAGCCAGGGAUUUUAUGACGCUGAGGAUUAGAAGCUGUUAUCCCAACCAACCCUGGAGCACUCUGUUCUGAUUUGAUGGUAAGCUUCACUAAUAAACUGUUUAAAACAUACGCU
RNAcentral lists this long non-coding RNA (5856 nucleotides) under Homo sapiens (human). Its description in RNAcentral is "HSALNT0402427". Lineage: Eukaryota; Metazoa; Chordata; Mammalia; Primates; Hominidae. The record is from RNAcentral.